CGCGGCCUAUCAGCUUGUUGGUGAGGUAACGGCUCACCAAGGCAACGACGGGUAGCUGGUCUGAGAGGACGAUCAGCCACACUGGGACUGAGACACGGCCCAGACUCCUACGGGAGGCAGCAGCAGGGAAUAUUACACAAUGGGCGAAAGCCUGAUGCAGCGACGCCGCGUGAGGGAUGAAGGCCUUCGGGUUGUAAACCUCUUUCAGGAGGGAAGAAGCGAAAGUGACGGUACCUCCACAAGAAGCCCCGGCCAACUACGUGCCAGCAGCCGCGGUAAUACGUAGGGGGCAAGCGUUGUCCGGAUUCAUUGGGCGUAAAGAGCUCGUAGGCGGCUCAACAAGUCGGUCGUGAAAGCCCGGGGCUCAACCCCGGGACGCCGAUCGAAACUGUUGUGGCUAGGGUCCGGUAGAGGAGAGUGGAAUUCCCGGUGUAGUGGUGAAAUGCGCAGAUAUCGGGAGGAACACCAGUAGCGAAGGCGGCUCUCUGGGCCGGCACCGACGCUGAGGAGCGAAAGCUAGGGGAGCAAACAGGAUUAGAUACCCUGGUAGUCCUAGCCGUAAACGUUGGGCACUAGGUGUGGCGGACUCAUUGACGUCUGCCGUGCCGUAGCUAACGCAUUAAGUGCCCCGCCUGGGGAGUACGG
This 645-nucleotide ribosomal RNA is filed under the name uncultured bacterium. RNAcentral's name for it is "bacterial SSU rRNA". It matches the Rfam family "Bacterial small subunit ribosomal RNA", at positions 232 to 885 of the family's 1533-position model. The record is from RNAcentral.